Molecule: ribosomal RNA, 497 nt
Filed under: uncultured bacterium
Lineage: Bacteria
Description: partial 16S ribosomal RNA
Rfam family: Bacterial small subunit ribosomal RNA
Source: RNAcentral
GAUGAACGCUGGCGGCGUGCCUAAUACAUGCAAGUCGAGCGAACAGACGAGGAGCUUGCUCCUCUGACGUUAGCGGCGGACGGGUGAGUAACACGUGGAUAACCUACCUAUAAGACUGGGAUAAUUUCGGGAAACCGGAGCUAAUACCGUAUAAUAUAUUGAACCGCAUGGUUCAAUAGUGAAAGACGGUUUUGCUGUCACUUAUAGAUGGAUCCGCGCCGCAUUAGCUAGUUGGUAAGGUAACGGCUUACCAAGGCGACGAUGCGUAGCCGACCUGAGAGGGUGAUCGGCCACACUGGAACUGAGACACGGUCCAGACUCCUACGGGAGGCAGCAGUAGGGAAUCUUCCGCAAUAGGCGAAAGCCUGACGGAGCAACGCCGCGUGAGUGAUGAAGGUCUUCGGAUCGUAAAACUCUGUUAUUAGGGAAGAACAAAUGUGUAAGUAACUAUGCACGUCUUGACGGUACCUAAUCAGAAAGCCACGGCUAACUACGUG